UACAGAGGGUGCGAGCGUUGUUCGGAAUUACUGGGCGUAAAGCGCACGUAGGCGGCUUUCUAAGUCGGGGGUGAAAUCCUGGAGCUCAACUCCAGAACUGCCUUCGAUACUGGAGAGCUCGAGUCCGGGAGAGGUGAGUGGAACUGCGAGUGUAGAGGUGAAAUUCGUAGAUAUUCGCAAGAACACCAGUGGCGAAGGCGGCUCACUGGCCCGGUACUGACGCUGAGGUGCGAAAGCGUGGGGAGCAAACAGG
RNAcentral lists this ribosomal RNA (253 nucleotides) under uncultured bacterium. RNAcentral describes it as "partial 16S ribosomal RNA". It matches the Rfam family "Bacterial small subunit ribosomal RNA", at positions 524 to 776 of the family's 1533-position model. The record is from RNAcentral.